Oreochromis aureus is the source of this 546-nucleotide long non-coding RNA. RefSeq lists it as uncharacterized. The record is from RefSeq and is a predicted model, not a curated record. NCBI's taxonomy places the organism in Eukaryota, Metazoa, Chordata, Actinopteri, Cichliformes, Cichlidae. The transcript is spliced from 3 exons.
CUCCCCUUCCUCCUCACCCAUCCGAGUGUCUCUACGAAUCUGGGAGUAAACCUCUGCGUGUGCGUAUGAGAGCGAGAGUGCACGCGUGACCUUGUGCUGCAGCCGUCAUCGAUCGGGCUGGAGCUGUCAAUCGAUCAGUCUGGGCUGUGAGUGGAGAUAAAGGUGUUUCUAUCUCUGGACACCUGGUUGUCAGGUUGGGGUACAGAAGAGAGGGGGAGCGAAAUAAAAGGUCGGAGGAAAAGAUGUGGACCCUACACCUACGCGGCCCCGCGAAAUGUUUCAUGGCAACAACUAAAUUCUACUUUGACUCUUCUUAUGUGGCGGGAACUGGGCGUUUUCGACAUCUUUAACUGUUCAGUCGUCUCUUGAUGUGAGAACUGAGGCAUGUCCACUGAGGAAGAACCAGGCAGACAACUUUCACUGUAGAUCAACAAAGCUGCCAAAGCCAGUUCUCAGGUGUGGCUACCCUGUGAUUUCCACUCCUCUGUAAGCCGGUGCAUCGAUCCACUCAUCACUUACCUGCAGUAUAUGAGGACCAGCUCUCCC